UAGGACUAUGAGAUAGCCAGUCCAGAAUCUGUGCUCGCAGGACAAGAGGAAAAUCAUUUGGCUCUUUACCAAAGAGUUUGAAAAUAAUUCGAUCUGUACGACUCUGAGCAUCUCCACUAGAACUAGAAGGUGACUGGGCAGAUGCCGAAUCUGAAUUUCCACUUGUCUGUGGGGGACUUGAUUGAUGUGAAACUUGUUGUACCCAUGAAGGGCAAUCAAGGGAGCUAGUCCCCAUGUUUGUAGGGACAGGCAAUCUAUCUACAUCUUCAGCACCAUCAUCUGAGUCAAUGUAAAUAUCAUUCAAAUCAAAAUUGUUCAUCUUGACCUGCCCCAAAGUGCUGUCUCGAACUUCUGAACAUGCUGGAUAAUUGUUCGGAAUGCUAGGUUUCACAGAAGAAGAGGUUUGCAUAUUUGCACCAUUAGCGCCAUGCGCACACCCAACUCGCUGCAGCAUUCCAGAAACAGUUACAGACAAAUGUUCCUUUAUAGGCCUUGGACGGACUUCAACAUUUGAGAGCAAAGUUGAUAGUAACUCUGAAUUUCCAG
This 546-nucleotide unclassified non-coding RNA is filed under the name Hevea brasiliensis (rubber tree). Lineage: Eukaryota; Viridiplantae; Streptophyta; Magnoliopsida; Malpighiales; Euphorbiaceae. The record is from RNAcentral.